CAGCCGCCGCGGGAAAACGGAGGGUGCAAGCGUUAAUCGGAAUUACUGGGCGUAAAGCGCACGCAGGCGGUCUGUCAAGUCAGAUGUGAAAUCCCCGGGCUUAACCUGGGAACUGCAUUUGAAACUGGCAGGCUGGAGUCUUGUAGAGGGGGGUAGAAUUCCAGGUGUAGCGGUGAAAUGCGUAGAGAUCUGGAGGAAUACCGGUGGCGAAGGCGGCCCCCUGGACAAAGACUGACGCUCAGGUGCGAAAGCGUGGGGAGCAAACAGGAUUAGAUACCCGUGUAGUCCCUGUCUCUUAUAC
This 301-nucleotide ribosomal RNA is filed under the name uncultured bacterium. RNAcentral's name for it is "partial 16S ribosomal RNA". It matches the Rfam family "Bacterial small subunit ribosomal RNA", at positions 509 to 807 of the family's 1533-position model. The record is from RNAcentral.